UCUAAUAUGGCAGAUAAGUGCAAUGGACUUAAACCCCAUAUUAUAAAGAACUCUCUUUUAUUAGAA
This 66-nucleotide transfer RNA is filed under the name Gromphadorhina portentosa (giant Madagascar hissing cockroach). RNAcentral's name for it is "tRNA-Leu". RNAcentral also lists the same sequence under 1 other name. Lineage: Eukaryota; Metazoa; Arthropoda; Insecta; Blattodea; Blaberidae. The record is from RNAcentral.